AUGAAGCCUGUGAUUUCUGAUUCUUUACAACGUUCGCUGGCGCGCAUAGGAUUAGAUAUAUGAAAAUAUAAAACGUAGAUAAUGAAUUAGUUAAGAAAUUAGCCUAAAAGCGUUACCAACCAUUAACUCGGUUUUUCCUUCCUCUUUUUCAAAAGCACAGUUUUCUUUUUCUUUUCCCGGUUCAACCGAACCAAACUUUUCCUACUCAAAUCUAACCCUGAUCACUUCUCCUCUCAGCACCGUUUGGAACCAUGGUCACGCCUCUUCAAGCAUGCAUUGAUGCUAUGUUGAGGUGAGGAGAAGCCACGAAACCUUAUGCACUUCACCCACUUCCUGUUCUUCUAUCUCUUGUUAAUAGUGCUUCUCAUUUUCUUUGAACCAAAACACGCACAAAUAAAGGAGAAGAACAGAGAAGGGAAGCAAAACGAAAUUGAAGAGAAGGAAGAAGCCAUCUGCAGCAAGAAGGAAGGUGCCCCACCUCCCAUCACUCUAAAUCUUCGAAGCUUCUUUGCUGGUGACCAUAGGCAAGAACUCUUCCCUUGCUCGAGUUGAGGUCGGCCAUUCAUUCUUGGAAGAGAGGCCAAAGCUCCAAUUCCGUACGGUUAUGGUUCUGAUUCCGGAAAGAAAUAAAAAUAGAAUUUCCAACUUCAAAAGAGACAGGUCCGGCAGAGGAGCUCUUUGAGUUUCGUUCUAUCCUGAGCUAUGAGAAUCCGGCGCGCGACGGAGUCUUCAUAUGGAGCACGCUUGGGAUCACUUUCUUGGACGAUGUUCGGAGAUCACUCCAGAGUUAGUCGCAGUGGAUAUUCCGCUCUUUUUUUAUGAUCUUAGUAUUACUUUUCCCUCGCUUUUGUAGUACUUUUAGUGGGGUAGGACAUCUUAGUAGUUUGGUUCCAGUUUAGGAAAUCCGUGUGAGGGUUGGGACUAACUUCUUUUUUUGUAUCUGUACAUAUAAUUUGGUGUGAUACUCGGUUUUUGAUAGAUGGCACGUAUCCUUAAA
Non-coding RNA from Arachis ipaensis, 997 nucleotides. The record is from RefSeq and is a predicted model, not a curated record. Lineage: Eukaryota; Viridiplantae; Streptophyta; Magnoliopsida; Fabales; Fabaceae.